CGCCAGCCCGCUCAGAAACUCAAGGAAUUGACGGGGCCCGCACAAGCGGUGAGCAUGUGGUUUAAUUCGAUGAUACGCGAGGAACCUUACCUGGCUCAAAUGUAUGUUGACGUAUUCUGAAAGGGAUACUUCUUCGGACAAUAUACAAGGUGCUGCAUGGUUGUCGUCAGCUCGUGCCGUGAGGUGUCGGGUUAAGUCCCAUAACGAGCGCAACCCCUAUCAUUAGUUGCCAUCAGGUCAAGCUGGGGACUCUAAUGAAACUGCCUACGCAAGUAGUGAGGAAGGUGGGGAUGACGUCAAAUCAGCACGGCCCUUACGUCCAGGGCUACACACGUGCUACAAUGGCCGGUACAAAGGGCAGCUACCUGGUGACAGGAUGCUAAUCUCAAAAGCCGGUCUCAGUUCGGAUCGGAGUCUGCAACCCGACUCCGUGAAGCUGGAAUCGCUAGUAAUCGCGCAUCAGCCAUGGCGCGGUGAAUACGUUCCCGGGCCUU
RNAcentral lists this ribosomal RNA (494 nucleotides) under uncultured Sphingobacteriales bacterium. RNAcentral's name for it is "bacterial SSU rRNA". It matches the Rfam family "Bacterial small subunit ribosomal RNA", at positions 904 to 1382 of the family's 1533-position model. Lineage: Bacteria; Pseudomonadati; Bacteroidota; Sphingobacteriia; Sphingobacteriales. The record is from RNAcentral.